GGAUGCGAUAAUACCAGCACUAAAGCACCGGAUCCCAUUAGAACUCCGAAGUUAAGCGUGCUUGGGCGAGAGUAGUACUAGGAUGGGUGACCUCCUGGGAAGUCCUCGUGUUGCAUUCC
This 119-nucleotide ribosomal RNA is filed under the name Aegilops tauschii subsp. strangulata. The record is from RNAcentral. Lineage: Eukaryota; Viridiplantae; Streptophyta; Magnoliopsida; Poales; Poaceae.